RNAcentral lists this ribosomal RNA (524 nucleotides) under uncultured bacterium. RNAcentral's name for it is "partial 16S ribosomal RNA". It matches the Rfam family "Bacterial small subunit ribosomal RNA", at positions 28 to 523 of the family's 1533-position model. The record is from RNAcentral.
GACGAACGCUGGCGGCGUGCCUAAUACAUGCAAGUCGAGCGCAGGAAACUGACGGAACUCUUCGGAGGGAAGGCAGCGGAAUGAGCGGCGGACGGGUGAGUAACACGUAAGGAACCUGCCUCAAGGAUUGGGAUAACUCCGAGAAAUCGGAGCUAAUACCGGAUAGUUCACCGGACCGCAUGGUCCGUUGAUGAAAGGCGCUCCGGCGUCACCUUGAGAUGGCCUUGCGGUGCAUUAGCUAGUUGGUGGGGUAACGGCCCACAAAGGCGACGGUGCAUAGCCGACCGGAGAGGGUGAUCGGCCACACUGGGACGGGGACACGGCCCAGACUCCUACGGGAGGCAGCAGUAGGGAAUCUUCCACAAUGGACGAAAGUCUGAUGGAGCAACGCCGCGUGAGUGAUGAAGGUUUUCGGAUCGUAAAACUCUGUUGUAAGGGAAGAACACGUACGAGAGGGAAUGCUCGUACCUUGACGGUACCUUACGAGAAAGCCACGGCUAACUACGUGCCAGCAGCCGCCGUAA